GAGCGAACGGAUAAGGAGAAGCUUGCUUCUCUGAUGUUAGCGGCGGACGGGUGAGUAACACGUGGAUAACCUACCUAUAAGACUGGGAUAACUUCGGGAAACCGGAGCUAAUACCGGAUAAUAUUUUGAACCGCAUGGUUCAAAAGUGAAAGACGGUCUUGCUGUCACUUAUAGAUGGAUCCGCGCUGCAUUAGCUAGUUGGUAAGGUAACGGCUUACCAAGGCAACGAUGCAUAGCCGACCUGAGAGGGUGAUCGGCCACACUGGAACUGAGACACGGUCCAGACUCCUACGGGAGGCAGCAGUAGGGAAUCUUCCGCAAUGGGCGAAAGCCUGACGGAGCAACGCCGCGUGAGUGAUGAAGGUCUUCGGAUCGUAAAACUCUGUUAUUAGGGAAGAACAUAUGUGUAAGUAACUGUGCACAUCUUGACGGUACCUAAUCAGAAAGCCACGGCUAACUACGUGC
RNAcentral lists this ribosomal RNA (465 nucleotides) under Staphylococcus aureus. RNAcentral describes it as "bacterial SSU rRNA". It matches the Rfam family "Bacterial small subunit ribosomal RNA", at positions 64 to 508 of the family's 1533-position model. The record is from RNAcentral. Lineage: Bacteria; Bacillati; Bacillota; Bacilli; Caryophanales; Staphylococcaceae.